This 486-nucleotide ribosomal RNA is filed under the name uncultured bacterium. RNAcentral describes it as "partial 16S ribosomal RNA". It matches the Rfam family "Bacterial small subunit ribosomal RNA", at positions 30 to 507 of the family's 1533-position model. The record is from RNAcentral.
AUUGAACGCUGGCGGCAUGCCUUACACAUGCAAGUCGAACGGCAGCACGGGUGCUUGCCCCUGGUGGCGAGUGGCGAACGGGUGAGUAAUACAUCGGCACAUGUCCUGUAGUGGGGGAUAGCCCGGCGAAAGCCGGAUUAAUACCGCAUACGAUCUACGGAUGAAAGCGGGGGACCUUCGGGCCUCGCGCUAUCGGGUUGGCCGAUGGCUGAUUAGCUAGUUGGUGGGGUAAAGGCCUACCAUGGCGACGAUCAGUAGCUGGUCUGAGAGGACGACCAGCCACACUGGGACUGAGACACGGCCCAGACUCCUACGGGAGGCAGCAGUGGGGAAUUUUGGACAAUGGGCGAAAGCCUGAUCCAGCAAUGCCGCGUGUGUGAAGAAGGCCUUCGGGUUGUAAAGCACUUUUGUCCGGAAAGAAAUCCUUGGCCCUAAUACGGUCGGGGGAUGACGGUACCGGAAGAAUAAGCACCGGCUAACUACGUG